UCCCUGAUGGCUCAGUUGGUAAAGAAUCUGCCUGCAAUGCAGGAGACCCUGGUCUGAUUCCAGGGUUGGGAA
This is a non-coding RNA of Bos taurus (domestic cattle), 72 nucleotides long. Lineage: Eukaryota; Metazoa; Chordata; Mammalia; Artiodactyla; Bovidae. The record is from Rfam.